Molecule: microRNA precursor, 76 nt
Filed under: Schistosoma mansoni
Lineage: Eukaryota; Metazoa; Platyhelminthes; Trematoda; Strigeidida; Schistosomatidae
Description: mir-3492 microRNA precursor family
Rfam family: mir-3492 microRNA precursor family
Source: Rfam by way of RNAcentral
AGACUUCUGUAUCCGUGCUGAGAUUUCGUCACAACAGACCACAAGGGCUGACGAGACUCCCAAGAUAAGUGAAGCG